This 381-nucleotide ribosomal RNA is filed under the name uncultured bacterium. RNAcentral's name for it is "bacterial SSU rRNA". It matches the Rfam family "Bacterial small subunit ribosomal RNA", at positions 30 to 412 of the family's 1533-position model. The record is from RNAcentral.
AUUGAACGCUGGCGGCAUGCCUUACACAUGCAAGUCGAACGGCAGCAUGGGAGCAAUCCUGGUGGCGAGUGGCGAACGGGUGAGUAAUAUAUCGGAACGUGCCCAGUCGUGGGGGAUAACGUAGCGAAAGCUACGCUAAUACCGCAUACGAUCUACGGAUGAAAGCGGGGGAUCGCAAGACCUCGCGCGAUUGGAGCGGCCGAUAUCAGAUUAGGUAGUUGGUGAGGUAAAGGCUCACCAAGCCGACGAUCUGUAGCUGGUCUGAGAGGACGACCAGCCACACUGGGACUGAGACACGGCCCAGACUCCUACGGGAGGCAGCAGUGGGGAAUUUUGGACAAUGGCGCAAGCCUGAUCCAGCAAUGCCGCGUGCAGGAUGAA